RNAcentral lists this ribosomal RNA (433 nucleotides) under uncultured bacterium. Its description in RNAcentral is "partial 16S ribosomal RNA". It matches the Rfam family "Bacterial small subunit ribosomal RNA", at positions 29 to 506 of the family's 1533-position model. The record is from RNAcentral.
AGCGAACGCUGGCGGCAGGCCUAACACAUGCAAGUCGAACGAACCUUUCGGGGUUAGUGGCGGACGGGUGAGUAACACGUGGGAACGUGCCUUUAGGUUCGGAAUAACUCAGGGAAACUUGUGCUAAUACCGAAUGUGCCCUUCGGGGGAAAGAUUUAUCGCCUUUAGAGCGGCCCGCGUCUGAUUAGCUAGUUGGUUGAGGUAAUGGCUCACCAAGGCGACGAUCAGUAGCUGGUCUGAGAGGAUGAUCAGCCACAUUGGGACUGAGACACGGCCCAAACUCCUACGGGAGGCAGCAGUGGGGAAUCUUGCGCAAUGGGCGAAAGCCUGACGCAGCCAUGCCGCGUGAAUGAUGAAGGUCUUAGGAUUGUAAAAUUCUUUCACCGGGGACGAUAAUGACGGUACCCGGAGAAGAAGCCCCGGCUACCUUCGU